UAAUUUUAUUUCUUCAUUCAUUAUCAUUGCAUGCACUAGUACACGACUAUGAUUUGCUUUUUUAAUGUGAAAUAAUGGCAAUUGUUUGGAUAUUAUUAAUAACAUUACCAAUAUGCGCGGGAAAUGUUCAUCUUCAAGCUAUGAUGACACCGCUAAAUUUUGUGUACUACCCAUAUAAGGUACAAUGGAGUGCUGCAAGAGAUGUGUGUCAAAGUUUGGGCGGAGACUUAGCAACCAUAGACUCAGGUGUUGUAAUGGAUUCCAUAGUAUCUCGAGCUGUGGAAACUUACGGAGAAGAUAUAUUCGGUCUAGAUUACUGGGUUGGGCUGGUUCGACAAGGAAAUGAUCGUGUUUGGGUCGCAGAUUGCACAAACUUGACAUAUACCGCCAAUUUCGCUGAUGAUUAUAAUGUGCAAGAAGAAUGUUUCAGACACACACGUGGUGAUCACAUUUGAGUACAAAAGGACUGUUUUACAUCAUUAGCUUUCUUAUGCCAAGUUCCCUUAUCACAACCUUGCGAAAUCACAGAACAAGUUUAUAGCGAUGUAUUAUCUGUAACAUUUGGGAGGAAUACAAGUUGCGAGUCUUUAUGUUUUAAUGACCCUAAGUGCUGGGCGGCAGUGCAGUAUGUGCCAAGUAAUUGUGUACAGCUAGCUCUUCCUGGACAUGGUGUUGAAAGUUUUACUUUGGCAUCAAAAUCUUGCA
Long non-coding RNA from Ruditapes philippinarum (Manila clam), 705 nucleotides. RefSeq lists it as uncharacterized. Lineage: Eukaryota; Metazoa; Mollusca; Bivalvia; Venerida; Veneridae. The transcript is spliced from 4 exons. The record is from RefSeq and is a predicted model, not a curated record.